CACGCUUCCUCUCCGCAACAUGCAAAUGUCGGGCUGUCACAGAUGGCUGCAAAGUCACAGCCCGGUGUUCCCAGCAGCGAGCGUGGGAUUUCAUAGGGCUAGGCCUUCAUUUUGUAAACCCUCCUCGACUGCAGUUGGUGAGUUUUCUGCAAGCCGGCAUUGCCUCGGGAGGACAAUCGUUUUCCCGGGGAUCAAAAGGCAGGCAGGCCUCGCCCCUUGGCUUCCCCAUCUGAAAAGUGGGGCCCGACUAGCACUUUCCUCACCAGGCCAGUGAAGGGCAUAGCUUACGAACAUUAUUAAGCACCUUGUGCAUACUGGAGGUUGGGUCCUCGGGGGGCAACCAGAUGUGGACCCUGCCCUUGAGGGGCUGGUGGGGAAGACAGGUUUCCACAGGCAACUAAAAUUCAGAAUGGUGCACACGAUGGAGCAGUGAUGGGCACAUCUUGGGGGCAGCUAGAGGAGGGGGCUCUCCGGGGGGCCUGGACUUCUGAGCAUGGGCGUAGGGAAGGACGAGAGAGCCGGCGGCAUUCGGGGUGGACACGGGUCCGUGGAGGGCACUGCAUGGGGGGCAGGGGACGAGGGGUGGCACCUGGCUCCACUGGGCCCCUGCUUUAUUGGCAAGACUGGACCACCUGGCACCUUCAACAAGGCUGUUUUGAAGAGAUCUCUGUGACAGAACGACAGCCAGAGAUGUUGGUAGGUCCAGGUCAGCCCGACGGUGGGUCACGAUCACCAUGUUCCCGCCCCACUGCAUCCUCACCAGCACGCGGGGCCCGGCUGCUGUUACUACGCUGGCGGGUGAUUCAUGACCGUGACACCCACGUGGAAGCCAGGCCGGCUCGCUGGCCUCGCCGUCUUACUGCAGCUAAGGAGGACCGGGACCGGAGACAGGACAUGGUCUCCCCGCGUGCACGGUGUGCGGCCUCUGCAGGUGCCUGUGGUUCUCUAAGUGUCUCCAAACAAGGAGUUUAAGAGCCAAGUCCGUGCCAAUCUCUACGCCUGCAGGGGAGCCGUAAACCUGGCAUCGUCACCGCGCACCCCUCUCCGAUUAGUCCUUCGUCCUCAAACAGCUACAUCUUGCACGUGCGGGCUCCACGGCCCCCGAGAAACCACAGUGUCCCGUGGGAACACCCACCCGCAGCACCUGGGGACCACGAAGAUGGAGACAGGACCCGUCUCCAGGGAGCGGAGAAAUGCAGGCCGGUCCCCCAGCCCCUCCCAGGGCCCAUCUGCGCUGAGUGACAAUCUCCUCCUAAUGAGAAGCAAUAAAGGCUAAUUAUCCACAGUUUCA
This 1291-nucleotide long non-coding RNA is filed under the name Felis catus (domestic cat). RNAcentral describes it as "lncRNA (ENSFCAG00000040530.2)". The record is from RNAcentral. Lineage: Eukaryota; Metazoa; Chordata; Mammalia; Carnivora; Felidae.